AGUGUUUGCGCGUGAAACGGUGAUUUGUCAACGAUUUCAUUUGAAAAAAAAACGCGUCUUGGAAAAAUCCAGUAAAAGAAAAAAAUUCGAGCGGCGCGCCGCAAGAAUUACAGGAGAGCACGUGGCGGUGCUUGAAGUCUAGUUCUCCGCGCCUCUCGCUUCCAGUAUUCGUCUGCCCGUCUAGAGGAGUGAGUGUUGUUCUGCUGUAGCACUGGCGAUCGCGCGCGCGCCUUCUAGCCUUUUUUCGUAAUCCGGACGAGCCCGACGUUGGCGGCGCCAAGCGAGAAGAGAUGAGGUGGGAGGCCGUCGACCCGUUAUAAAUGGAACUAGCAAGACAACAUUUCUUGAAUCGUUUCUUGUGUUAUUAUUCGCAGCGUGUCGGCGUACUAGCCCGCAUGUUUGCUCGCGGCGUGACCGGAACGUCAUCCACCGAUAUUAUUAUCUCCAUGGUCCAGAGGAUGCAAUCGAAUCGUGGCGACCGUGGAAAGUGAAGUUUUCGAAAGGAAAAAAGAGAAAUCGAAGAAGCGAGAAAUCGAGGGACAGAAAGUGGCAUUUUUGACGACGUGAGGAACGACGAUCGCUGCCAGUGUGAAACUCUCGACGCAUAUUAUAGUGCCGCGAUUUCAGUAAGUGGGAACGAAAAUUCGCGAAUAUACACAAAAGAAGUGGCGAUACAAAAGUAGUGGAGUUUUUAAAGUUUGAAAACGUGAAAAGUGAUCAAAAUUCGAAAGUUGUGUUUCAUUGUUUGGUCAAUACGACAAACUCUCAGUAUCGCGAUUGCAUGGUCGUUUAAAUUGGUUGUCACAAUUCGAAAUACUCGGUACCGAUUUGUUCGCGAGAAGAUUGCAACCGUCGAGCUAGUGAAUCACAUACGAGUGAUAUUUCGAAAGAUCGAUGUGUUGUUGAACCUAAAAAGGUGGCUCUUACUCAACGCCGUUUAUCGCGCUAUUGGAGAGCAUACUUGGAAUGAACGUCGCAUAUUCAACUACUAUGUGAAGUUGUCUUACAGUUUGAAUGUGAUUAGUGGAUGCGCUGCAAGCGACCGAGUGUCACCGGUUGCUUUGCAAUGCGAGUGUAUAGAAGCUUCGUGCAGAGACAAAACAAUUGAGAAACAAAUCAAACAAAUCAGUUUAUAGCUUUUCGUUUUAAAAUCUUUAAUUCAGUAUAUAUACAUUCAAAGGAAUACUUAUAAUCAACUUAAAAAAAUUAAUAAUAAUUUUUUUAUAUAUGAAUAUCAACAUAAGUUAUAGUUUCUAAAAAAUAGUUUUUGAAAAUCACUCAGUAUUGUGUUCAUAUUUAAACAUUUAUUAUAAUUAUUUUUUUUGUGUCACAUGCGAUAUGAUAAUUAGAUUUUUAAAUGGUUAAAACAAAAUAAACUGCAGAUAUAGUGGAAAAUAACGCAUAAAGUGUUACUCGGAACAUAUGAUGUGCAAGCGCGAUUCGAAUGACACCUAAGAUCCACGUCUGAUGACAAACGUGAACAGGAUCAGGGUGGUCGUCCUCGGCGGCCCCAGAGUUGGAAAAUCAGCCGUGGUAGUACGCUAUUUGACGAGGCGAUAUAUUGGCGAAUACAGCUCAACCAGUGAUUUCCUGUAUCGGCACAGCGUUACCAUCGAUAAUGUUAGUACCGAAGUCGAGAUACUGGACACUUCCAGGUGCGAGGAAAAUGGUUGUCUAUAUUCCCAUAUAAGAUGGGGCGAGGCUUUCGUAAUCGUUUACAGUGUAACGUGCAAACGAAGUUUUCAGGAAGCUCGUGGAUUGCUGAAGCAACUGGCUGAUUUACGUCUGCCAUCCUACUUCACUGCACUGUUGCUCGGCAAUAAGAGAGAUCUGGAUCAUGCUCGAGAGGUAUGCGUGGACGAGGGCCAGCAACUAUCCCUGGCGCAUGGAUGUCAAUUUUACGAGGUUAGUGCGGCGGAAAGUCCUGCGGGGGCAGCACUGGCGUUCCAAGCGCUGCUCCGCGAGGCAAGAUCGGUUCAAUUGCUCCGAGCACUUCCUAUCCGUCGGAAAUUGGGUGUCCAUUCGGUCUCGAGGGUGCUCGGCACCAUCUUUGGCAAGAAUACGACGAAGGACCGCAAAAAGAGGCCUUCGUUAAGCAUAUGACGCCUCCUCUGCGCCCUCCUCCUCGGAGGUCGUGACGAACCUGAUAGAAGGACCGAUGUGAUCGUUCUUACCAGUAACGUCUAUUCGAACCGUUGACGAGGACAUGGAAAACGAUCAUCUGACCAACAGUGGAUUAACAGUCGCCGAUCUUCCGCCUUUUGAUGUCUUCUGAAAAAGAAAGUUCCUGGCGUUUUGAUUCGGUUUCAAGACUGAUAUAGAGAAACAUUGGGACGUUGUCUGGCGGACAGAUCUACCACACCAUCAUAAUUUUGUUGACUGUUCGUCAUUGGGUGAGGAGAGGGAGAGGGUGCAGGAGACGCGUAUCUGGCGAACAUCAGCUCCGUUUCACGCGGUUUAUAAGAAUAUUUCGGGAGUUCGAUCGGAAAACGAGAGAAUUAUUUGCUGGAGAGUAUUUGUCUAGCGUUUCACUUGAAAUUCUCAGGACAUUUUCGUUCAAUCAUCCGUGAAGGGAAAAUAUCCGUGAGAAAAUCGUGUGAAAGACUGUCGCGAGCGUGGAAAAGUGGAUAAAUGACCUAAUAAAAUCGGGCCAAGAACCGAGUUACUUUGUCUCCGUCGUAUUUCAUGUUCUUACUCUUUCUUUUUCUUUCUUUUUUCUCUAUUUUCUUCCAUUCUUUUACUUUUUCUAUAUAUCUUUUUCGUUCUUAGAGCGAUUAAAUUAAGUGUCUUUUCUUCGAGGAAUAGAGCCUCGAGGUGUCAGUUUUGCCGGAUCUCAACGGUUCGAGGAUACCGUACUGCACGUGUGACUGCUGUUCCUGAACGUAGCUUUAACUGGAAGUCGAAAUAUGACUCUCAUCAGGUGUUUUUUCAGAAUCAAUAGUUUUUGAAAUUUUUAUUAAUUUUAUCAAGUAUUUGG
This 2977-nucleotide unclassified non-coding RNA is filed under the name Apis florea (little honeybee). RNAcentral's name for it is "ras-related and estrogen-regulated growth inhibitor- like, transcript variant X2". The record is from RNAcentral. Lineage: Eukaryota; Metazoa; Arthropoda; Insecta; Hymenoptera; Apidae.